RNAcentral lists this ribosomal RNA (466 nucleotides) under uncultured bacterium. RNAcentral's name for it is "bacterial SSU rRNA". It matches the Rfam family "Bacterial small subunit ribosomal RNA", at positions 28 to 507 of the family's 1533-position model. The record is from RNAcentral.
GACGAACGCUGGCGGCGUGCCUAACACACGCAAGUCGAACGGACGAGGGGAGCUUGCUCCCUGAGUUAGUGGCGAACGGGUGAGUAACGCGUGAGGAACCUGCCUUUCAGUGGGGGACAACAGUUGGAAACGACUGCUAAUACCGCAUAAUGCAGCUAGACCGCAUGGUCUUACUGCCAAAGCUUUAUGUGCUGAAAGAUGGCCUCGCGUCUGAUUAGCUAGUUGGUGAGGUAACGGCCCACCAAGGCGACGAUCAGUAGCCGGACUGAGAGGUUGACCGGCCACAUUGGGACUGAGAUACGGCCCAGACUCCUACGGGAGGCAGCAGUGGGGAAUAUUGGGGCAAUGGGCGCAAGCCUGACCCAGCAACGCCGCGUGAAGGAAGAAGGCUUUCGGGUUGUAAACUUCUUUAUGAGGGACGAACACAAUGACGGUACCUUAUGAAUAAGCCACGGCUAACUACGUG